UUUUGGACAAUGGGCGAAAGCCUGAUCCAGCAAUGCCGCGUGCAGGAUGAAGGCCUUCGGGUUGUAAACUGCCUUUGUACCCCCCCCCCCCGGCCUUUUCUAAUAAAGAGGGCUAAUGACGGUACCGUAAGAAUAAGCACCGGCUAACUACGUGCCAGCAGCCGCGGCAAUACGUAGGGUGCAAGCGUUAAUCGGAAUUGCUGGGCGUAAAGCGUGCGCAGGCGGUUAUGUAAGACAGUUGUGAAAUCCCCGGGCUCAACCUGGGAAUGGCAUCUGUGACUGCAUAGCUAGAGUACGGUAGAGGGGGAUGGAAUUCCGCGUGUAGCAGUAAAUGCGUAGAUAUGCGGAGGAACACCGAGGCGAAGGCAAUCCCCGGACCUUACUACGUCAGCAGAAA
Molecule: ribosomal RNA, 397 nt
Filed under: uncultured bacterium
Lineage: Bacteria
Description: partial 16S ribosomal RNA
Rfam family: Bacterial small subunit ribosomal RNA
Source: RNAcentral